This 854-nucleotide long non-coding RNA is filed under the name Homo sapiens (human). RNAcentral describes it as "PREDICTED lncRNA (TCONS_00110316)". The record is from RNAcentral. Lineage: Eukaryota; Metazoa; Chordata; Mammalia; Primates; Hominidae.
CAGAGCUAUCAGCUUCCCAGUUUGCACAAUUCAUCAAGAAAUUAUGCGGGGUCACUGGCACAAAUGAUGAGGCAUCUCCUGGAAGCUUAACUUCUUAUCCAUCCCAUCUCUUGGACAGAUGAUGCCAGUUAAUUACUUUGAAUGCUCCUCCACCAAGCCAAGGCCAGACUCCUGCAAUCAUAGGAUGGCAACACCACCUCUAAAGCACAGAACUUCAGGCUUUGCUUCGGAAGUGGCACCAUGGUCUCUUCAUUUUCCCUUUCUUCAAGGCAAGUUUGAAAACCACUGCUUUAAAGAAAAUGGAUACUCCCCUUACCAAGCAGAAAGUAGGAUUUUGGAAACUGAUGCAAGGGAAGCAAAAAGAUGCCUCAGGAGGCACGAUUACAACAGGAUUGAUGCAAACGGAAGCUGAAGCUUAACCAAAGACAUUAAUAUACGCCCACAAAAGAAAAUGCUAAGGAAGUCAAGUGGUCUGCAUGAAUUCUGAAGAAAAAUGGAGAACCAAAGAACAAAAUUUGUCAAUGAAUUUCCAGCACAGUCUAGGUUAAGGGAGUGAAUUUCUUGACUGAAUGGCACAGACUCUGUACCACCUGAUUGGCUGUUACCUUAAUGGAGGAAUUAUAUUACAAUGUAUAGGUACUUUAAUUAGAAUGACCUGGCAGUUACUGAGGCAAAAUUUUCCGCUCCUUUGUAUUCUGUAAUACAAGAAGGAUCUACAUGGAUGUUCUGUUCUCUGAACUGUCUGGAUGAACCGGUCAAUGGCACUCAUCAUACCUUAGUUUUUAAAUCUGCAUUGUGGUCAUAAUCUGUUAUUUAAUUAAUUUCUCGUAUUUUUAAUAAAAACGUUGCCUAUA